GGCAGUGUAGCACAGUGGUAAGGCGCAGGGCUUGUAACCAAAAGGUUGCUGGUUCGAUUACCUGCUGGGGCACUGCUU
RNAcentral lists this transfer RNA (78 nucleotides) under Megalops atlanticus (tarpon). RNAcentral describes it as "tRNA-OTHER". The record is from RNAcentral. Lineage: Eukaryota; Metazoa; Chordata; Actinopteri; Elopiformes; Megalopidae.